Molecule: non-coding RNA, 28 nt
Filed under: Homo sapiens (human)
Lineage: Eukaryota; Metazoa; Chordata; Mammalia; Primates; Hominidae
Source: RNAcentral
UGAAGUCGGGGAAGAUUCAGCGUUGCCA